This 497-nucleotide ribosomal RNA is filed under the name uncultured bacterium. RNAcentral describes it as "partial 16S ribosomal RNA". It matches the Rfam family "Bacterial small subunit ribosomal RNA", at positions 28 to 507 of the family's 1533-position model. The record is from RNAcentral.
GAUGAACGCUGGCGGCGUGCCUAAUACAUGCAAGUCGAGCGAACUGACUAGAAUCUUUCUGCUCUGUUGUUAGCGGCGUACGGGUGAGUAACACGUGGAUAACCUACCUAUAACACUGCCAUAACUGCGGGAAACCUAACCGAAUACCGGAUAAUAUUCUGAACCGCAUGAGUCAAAAGUGCAAUACGGUCUUGCUGACACUUAUAGACGAUCCCCCGCUGCAUUAGCUAGUUGCUAAGGUAACGGCUUACCAAGGCAACGAAGCAGAGCCGACCUGAUAGGGUGAUCAGGCAGCCUGGAAGUGAGACACGGUCCAGAGUACUAGGGACGGGAGCAGUAGGGAAUCUUGCGGAAUGAGCGAAGAACAGACGGAGCAACGCCGCGUGAGUGAUGAGGGUCUUCGGAUCGUAAAACUAUGUUAUUAGGGCAGAACAUAUGUGUAAGUAACUGUGCAGCACUUGACAGUACCUAAUCAGAAAGGCACGGCUAACUACGUG